This 433-nucleotide ribosomal RNA is filed under the name uncultured bacterium. RNAcentral describes it as "partial 16S ribosomal RNA". It matches the Rfam family "Bacterial small subunit ribosomal RNA", at positions 29 to 507 of the family's 1533-position model. The record is from RNAcentral.
AACGAACGCUGGCGGCAUGCCUAACACAUGCAAGUCGAACGACACCUUCGUGUCUGGUUGCUCACACGUGCGUCACGCGUCGGACCCUGCCCUUAUACUCGGCAUAACUCCUCUACGUGGGUGCUAAUACCGGGUAAUUUCCUCUGACCCAAGAUUCAUCCCCUUUGUGUGGGCCCGCGUUGGACUAGCUAUUUGCUAUUGUAAGAGCCUACCAAGGCUACGAUCCAUAGCUGGUCAGAGAGCAUGAGCAGCCACACUGCGACUGGGACACGGCCCGGACUCAUACGGGAGGGGGCAGUGGGGAAUAUUGGAAAAUGGGCGAAAGGAAGAUACAGUAAUGCCGGGUGAGUGAUGAAGGCCUUAGGGUAGUAAAGCACGUUUACCCGGGAUGAUAAUGACAGUACCGAGAGAAUAAGCUCCGGCUAACUCCGUG